UUGGAAAUUAUUCAAAAGUCUAAAGCUGUUUAUAUAUAUAUAUAUAUAUAUUUUUUUUUUCUUCCAGGAAAUGUUUCAAUAUCUUUAGCUUGAAGCAGCAUUUGGAGACCAAGUUUUGCUGGUGGUAAAACAUAAACAACAAUGCAGAAAGAGAAACAAAACAUGUGUUUGCUCAACUCUAGCGAUGCAGUGCCGAGGCAUGCCUGCAGACUUCUUGUACAGUGCAGAAUCUCUCAGCUGCACGAUGACACCUUCCCCAGCUCCUAUCCUAGAAUUUUGGGCAUCAACUCUCAUGCUCAGUUAUGUAUUUUCACAAGCAGCAUCAGAGUAGCAGACAGCAGGAAAGCUGAAAAUACUAGAAAUUCAAGAAAACUACUGUUGCAUUCUGUUUCUGUGUCAUCACUGGGCGUAGAAAAUGGUGUGUAUUACUAUGCCCUAUGUAUAUCUUCAUUAUCUUUGCCA
RNAcentral lists this long non-coding RNA (462 nucleotides) under Anser brachyrhynchus (Pink-footed goose). RNAcentral's name for it is "lncRNA (ENSABRG00000022090.1)". The record is from RNAcentral. Lineage: Eukaryota; Metazoa; Chordata; Aves; Anseriformes; Anatidae.